This 989-nucleotide ribosomal RNA is filed under the name uncultured marine bacterium. RNAcentral's name for it is "bacterial SSU rRNA". It matches the Rfam family "Bacterial small subunit ribosomal RNA", at positions 80 to 1102 of the family's 1533-position model. The record is from RNAcentral.
AAGUAGCAAUACUUAGUGGCAGACGGGUGAGUAACAUGUAGGUAUCUGCCCUUUGGCCUGGAAUAACACGAGGAAACUUGUGCUAAUACCGGAUAAGUCUUUACGGAGAAAGCUUUAUGCACCAUUGGAUGAGCCUGCACUUGAUUAGUUUGUUGGUGGGGUAAUGGCCUACCAAGACUGUGAUCAAUAGCUGAUUUGAGAGGAUGAUCAGCCACAUUGGGACUGAGACACGGCCCAAACUCCUACGGGAGGCAGCAGUGGGGAAUCUUGCACAAUGGAGGAAACUCUGAUGCAGCGAUGCCGCGUGAGUGAAGAAGGCCCUUGGGUUGUAAAGCUCUUUCGUCGGGGAAGAAAAUGACUGUACCCGAAUAAGAAGGUCCGGCUAACUUCGUGCCAGCAGCCGCGGUAAUACGAAGGGACCUAGCGUAGUUCGGAAUUACUGGGCUUAAAGAGUUCGUAGGUGGUUGAAAAAGUUAGUGGUGAAAUCCCAGAGCUUAACUCUGGAACUGCCGUUAAAACUUUUCAGCUAGAGUAUGAUAGAGGAAAGCAGAAUUUCUAGUGUAGAGGUGAAAUUCGUAGAUAUUAGAAAGAAUACCAAUUGCGAAGGCAGCUUUCUGGAUCAUUACUGACACUGAGGAACGAAAGCAUGGGUAGCGAAGAGGAUUAGAUACCCUCGUAGUCCAUGCCGUAAACGAUGUGUGUUAGACGUUGGAAAUUUAUUUUCAGUGUCGCAGGGAAACCGAUAAACACACCGCCUGGGGAGUACGACCGCAAGGUUAAAACUCAAAUGAAUUGACGGGGACCCGCACAAGUAGUGGAGCAUGUGGUUUAAUUCGAAGAUACGCGCAGAACCUUACCAACACUUGACAUGUUCGUCGCGACUCUAAGAGAUUAGAGUUUUCGGUUCGGCCGGACGAAACACAGGUGCUGCAUGGCUGUCGUCAGCUCGUGUCGUGAGAUGUUGGGUUAAGUCCCGCAACGAGCGCAAC